AGAGACAGCAGUCGCCGCGGGAAUACGAAGGGUGCAAGCGUUACUCGGAUUUACUGGGCGUAAAGCGUGCGUAGGCGGCUUUUUAAGUCGGAUGUGAAAUCCCUGAGCUUAACUUAGGAAUUGCAUUCGAUACUGGGAAGCUAGAGUAUGGGAGAGGAUGGUAGAAUUCCAGGUGUAGCGGUGAAAUGCGUAGAGAUCUGGAGGAAUACCGAUGGCGAAGGCAGCCAUCUGGCCUAAUACUGACGCUGAGGUACGAAAGCAUGGGGAGCAAACAGGAUUAGAUACCCCUGUAGUCCCUGUCUCUUAUAC
This 309-nucleotide ribosomal RNA is filed under the name uncultured bacterium. RNAcentral's name for it is "partial 16S ribosomal RNA". It matches the Rfam family "Bacterial small subunit ribosomal RNA", at positions 504 to 807 of the family's 1533-position model. The record is from RNAcentral.